GUAUGUACAGCCUGCGAGUUCUUGUAGCAAUACAAGGCAGACGGCUCAGUAACGCGUAGUCAACCUACCCUAUGGACGGGGAUAACCUCGGGAAACUGAGAAUAAUACCCGAUAGAACACUAUACCUGGAAUGGUUUGUGUUCCAAAUAAUUUAUUGCCGUAGGAUGGGACUGCGGCCUAUCAGUUUGUUGGUGAGGUAAUGGCCCACCAAGACUAUUACAGGUACGGGCUCUGAGAGGAGUGGCCCGGAGAUGGGUACUGAGACACGGACCCAGGCCCUAUGGGGCGCAGCAGGCGAGAAAACUUUGCAAUGUGCGAAAGCACGACAAGGUUAAUCCGAGUGGUUUCUGCUAAAGGAACCUUUUGACAGUCCUAGAAACACUGUUGAAUAAGGGGUGGGCAAGUUCUGGUGUCAGCCGCCGCGGUAAAACCAGCACCUCAAGUGGUCAGGAUGAUUAUUGGGCCUAAAGCAUCCGUAGCCGGCUCUGUAAGUUUUCGGUUAAAUCUGUACGCUUAACGUACAGGCUGCUGGGAAUACUGCAGAGCUAGGGAGUGGGAGAGGUA
Molecule: ribosomal RNA, 564 nt
Filed under: uncultured archaeon
Lineage: Archaea
Description: bacterial SSU rRNA
Rfam family: Archaeal small subunit ribosomal RNA
Source: RNAcentral